This 468-nucleotide ribosomal RNA is filed under the name uncultured bacterium. RNAcentral's name for it is "partial 16S ribosomal RNA". It matches the Rfam family "Bacterial small subunit ribosomal RNA", at positions 28 to 507 of the family's 1533-position model. The record is from RNAcentral.
GACGAACGCUGGCGGCGUGCUUAACACAUGCAAGUCGAACGGAAAGGCCCUGCUUUUGUGGGGUUCUCGUGUGGCGAACGGGGGUGUAACACGUGAGUAACCCGCCCUUGACUUUGGGAUAACUUCAGGAAACUGGGGCUAUUACCGGAUAGGAGCUCCUGCUGCAUGGGGUGGGAUGGAAAGUUUCGGCGGUUGGGGCUGGACUCGCGGCUUAUCAGCUUCUUGGGGGGGUAGUGGCUUACCAAGGGUUUGACGGGUAGCCGGCCUGGGAGGGUGACCGGCCACAUUGGGACUGAGAUACGGCCCAGACUCCUACGGGAGGCAGCAGUGGGGAAUAUUGCACAAUGGGCGGAAGCGUGAUGCAGCAACGCCGCGUGCGGGAUGACGGCCUUCGGGUUGUAAACCGCUGUCGCCUGUGACGAAGCGUGAGUGACGGUAAUGGGUAAAGAAGCACCGGCUAACUACGUG